UCAACUUUCUGGCGAGGAAUAGGGAUUCCCGAACUACUGGUGGACUAUUGACGGAACCAGUCAUUGAGAACGUGUACGUUGUGAUCCAACUAUGCCUUUGAAGAACGGUGAACGCAAAGAUGACGCGAUUCUCUGAUCAUCACGAGUGUCCCUGAUUGCUGACGGAAGAUGGAAAUGACCACCUCGGCUACUGAGUGGACUUGGCAUAUGUCGGUGUUUAAAAGGUCCUUCUAUGGGGCUUUGCAGAUGGGAUGACCAAAGAAGAAAAAUAUGGAGCCUCCUCCCCAGUGACUUUGCAGAACUGAAGUUGGCAACGCUUGUACAGGUAAACUUGGGAGAAGGUUUUACUGGUCAGUAAAGUACCCAGAGGUAAAGCUGGUGGCAAGGACGCUG
Molecule: long non-coding RNA, 393 nt
Organism: Arvicola amphibius (Eurasian water vole)
Lineage: Eukaryota; Metazoa; Chordata; Mammalia; Rodentia; Cricetidae
Exons: 4
Source: RefSeq, a predicted model, not a curated record